CCUGCUAAUGCCUGUCUUCUGUCUACCCAAC
RNAcentral lists this non-coding RNA (31 nucleotides) under Mus musculus (house mouse). The record is from RNAcentral. RNAcentral also lists the same sequence under 1 other name. Lineage: Eukaryota; Metazoa; Chordata; Mammalia; Rodentia; Muridae.